Molecule: non-coding RNA, 227 nt
Organism: Oryza barthii
Lineage: Eukaryota; Viridiplantae; Streptophyta; Magnoliopsida; Poales; Poaceae
Source: Rfam
UUUAAGUGUAGCCAUAAAUUUCUGUGUCCAAUAUUUCACUGUUCGUCUUAUUUGAAAAAUAUAUAAAAAAAUUUUAAAAAUUAAGUCACGCAUAAAAUACUAUUCAUGUUUUAUCAUCUAAUAACAAUAAAAAUAGUAAUCAUAAAAAAAUUUUCAAAUAAAACAAAAAAUAUUCAAAUAAAACGGAUGGUCAAACGUGGGCAUUGAAACCCACGACUGUGUUUAAU